This 365-nucleotide ribosomal RNA is filed under the name uncultured bacterium. RNAcentral describes it as "bacterial SSU rRNA". It matches the Rfam family "Bacterial small subunit ribosomal RNA", at positions 8 to 399 of the family's 1533-position model. The record is from RNAcentral.
AGAGUUUGAUCCUGGCUCAGAGCGAACGCUGGCGGCAGGCUUAACACAUGCAAGUCGAGCGGGCGUAGCAAUACGUCAGCGGCAGACGGGUGAGUAACGCGUGGGAACGUACCUUUUGGUUCGGAACAACACAGGGAAACUUGUGCUAAUACCGGAUAAGCCCUUACGGGGAAAGAUUUAUCGCCGAAAGAUCGGCCCGCGUCUGAUUAGCUAGUUGGUGAGGUAACGGCUCACCAAGGCGACGAUCAGUAGCUGGUCUGAGAGGAUGAUCAGCCACAUUGGGACUGAGACACGGCCCAAACUCCUACGGGAGGCAGCAGUGGGGAAUAUUGGACAAUGGGCGCAAGCCUGAUCCAGCCAUGCCG